This 446-nucleotide ribosomal RNA is filed under the name uncultured bacterium. Its description in RNAcentral is "partial 16S ribosomal RNA". It matches the Rfam family "Bacterial small subunit ribosomal RNA", at positions 329 to 792 of the family's 1533-position model. The record is from RNAcentral.
CUCCAGACUCCUACGGGAGGCAGCAGUGGGGAAUAUUGCACAAUGGGGGAAACCCUGAUGCAGCGACGCCGCGUGAGCGAUGAAGUAUUUCGGUAUGUAAAGCUCUAUCAGCAGGGAAGAAAAUGACGGUACCUGACUAAGAAGCCCCGGCUAACUACGUGCCAGCAGCCGCGGUAAUACGUAGGGGGCAAGCGUUAUCCGGAUUUACUGGGUGUAAAGGGGGCGCAGACGGCAGCGCAAGCCAGGAGUGAAAGCCCGGGGCCCAACCCCGGGACUGCUCUUGGAACUGCGUGGCUGGAGUGCAGGAGGGGCAGGCGGAAUUCCUGGUGUAGCGGUGAAAUGCGUAGAUAUCAGGAGGAACACCGGUGGCGAAGGCGGCCUGCUGGACUGCAACUGACGUUGAGGCCCGAAAGCGUGGGGAGCAAACAGGAUUAGAUACCCCUGUA